Molecule: non-coding RNA, 92 nt
Organism: Pilatotrama ljubarskyi
Lineage: Eukaryota; Fungi; Basidiomycota; Agaricomycetes; Polyporales; Polyporaceae
Source: the annotation of a GenBank genome assembly
GGUUCGAUGGUGUAGUUGGUUAUCACGUCUGUCUCACAAGCCAGCGGUUGGCUGCGCACAGGAGGUCUCCGGUUCGAGUCCGGGUCGAACCA